AUGGGAUCUUAGUUCCCCGAGCAGGGAUCAAACCCGCGCCCCCUGCAUUGGAAGCGUGGAGUCUUAACCAUUGGACCGCCAGGGAAGUCCCCACUGUGGAUAUUCACACCCAAGACCUAUACAGGCCAUACAGAAGCUGAGCUGGAAAUGUCUGAAGCGCGACCAAGACAGAGCCCCCUGCUGGCUGCUGACCCCGGCAAGGGCUCAAGCAGGAGUCAGAUGUGCUCUGUCAGUGGUGACAACCUAUCAGUCGCUGUGGAAGCGCAAAUCCUUCAGUGAUCUGGUAUAGCUGUGUGACAAGUCACCUGAAACUCCUCACUGGAAUUGAGAAGUAGCUGGAGAAGAACCACCGACACCUGGGGGCCGAGUAAGGGCUGCAGGACAAGCAAAUACCAGGUGAAAACCACCAUGGCAAUGAUCCCUUCUGUUCAAAAAU
Long non-coding RNA from Lagenorhynchus albirostris (white-beaked dolphin), 436 nucleotides. RefSeq lists it as uncharacterized. The record is from RefSeq and is a predicted model, not a curated record. Lineage: Eukaryota; Metazoa; Chordata; Mammalia; Artiodactyla; Delphinidae. The transcript is spliced from 3 exons.